RNAcentral lists this small RNA (631 nucleotides) under Histoplasma capsulatum var. duboisii H88. RNAcentral describes it as "Histoplasma capsulatum H88 hypothetical RNA". The record is from RNAcentral. Lineage: Eukaryota; Fungi; Ascomycota; Eurotiomycetes; Onygenales; Ajellomycetaceae.
GAGUGGCUGCAUCAUAGCUCUUUUUUUUUAACCUGCAUGCGCGCCUCGUAACUGGACCUUGCAUUUUCUUGUCUGUUCUUUUUGCUUUUUUGAGCUUUUUCCAAUUCUUCUAACCUAUGGCAUCUUCUGUCUAUACAUCCAGGCUAGCUCUCCUCGUUUGAUUCGAGGAUGAGCAAUGCACGUCUGUCUUUUUCUUUUUUGUUUCUUAUUCAUGAGAACGGGAGAUUUCUUUUGCUUUCGUAUUCAACGUCCGAUUCUCCCUUCUGAUGAUAAUUAACUUUCAAAAUCCUUCCCGUGCGCAAGGUACAUGUACUACCCAGAGACCAAUAGCAGCUUGUCCCUUCGCAGCGGAGGUGAUGCAUUGACCCGAUGUGAAUAGAGAAUGAGUUAACGAUUUAUAAAAUGUGUGAGCUGAGAGGGAUGAAUUGACUCGUCCAAAUUGUUGUUCUCUUUCUGCUUCCCUUUUCUAUUUUGCUGUUCAUGUCCAAUCAACAAAGACAUUGUAGAUUGAAUAUUCACACUUUCUAAGGAUUUAUGCCUUCCAUGAUUUGUGAUGGAACGACUGCCUGAGCACUUUUUUUAAGAAGGGAAAAAGACAAGCAAGGGCCACUCUCACCAAUAAAUAAAUAGA